CCUACGGGAGGCAGCAGUGGGGAAUAUUGGACAAUGGGCGAAAGCCUGAUCCAGCCAUGCCGCGUGUGUGAAGAAGGCCUUUUGGUUGUAAAGCACUUUAAGCGGGGAGGAGGGCUCUGUGGUUAAUACCCAUGGAAGUCGGACGUUACCCGCAGAAUAAGCACCGGCUAACUCUGUGCCAGCAGCCGCGGUAA
Molecule: ribosomal RNA, 194 nt
Filed under: uncultured bacterium
Lineage: Bacteria
Description: partial 16S ribosomal RNA
Rfam family: Bacterial small subunit ribosomal RNA
Source: RNAcentral